Molecule: ribosomal RNA, 265 nt
Filed under: uncultured bacterium
Lineage: Bacteria
Description: partial 16S ribosomal RNA
Rfam family: Bacterial small subunit ribosomal RNA
Source: RNAcentral
GUCCACGCCCUAAACGAUGAGUGCUAGAUAUCGGGGCUUAUGUCCUCGGUGUCGUAGUUAACGCGUUAAGCACUCCGCCUGGGAAGUACGAUCGCAAGAUUAAAACUCAAACGGAAUUGACGGGGACCCCGCACAAGCAGUGGAACAUGUGGUUUAAUUCGAUGCUACGCGAAAAACCUUACCAGGCCUUGACAUAAUGGUUAAUUUGUAGAGAGAUCUACGAGUCGGUUCGGCCGGACCAUUACAGGUGUUGCAUGGCUGUCGU